RNAcentral lists this ribosomal RNA (200 nucleotides) under uncultured bacterium. Its description in RNAcentral is "partial 16S ribosomal RNA". It matches the Rfam family "Bacterial small subunit ribosomal RNA", at positions 28 to 230 of the family's 1533-position model. The record is from RNAcentral.
GUUGAACGCUGGCGGCAUGCCUUACACAUGCAAGUCGAACGGCAGCACGGGAGCAAUCCUGGUGGCGAGUGGCGAACGGGUGAGUAAUACAUCGGAACGUGCCCAAUCGUGGGGGAUAACGCAGCGAAAGCUGUGCUAAUACCGCAUAAGAUCUACGGAUGAAAGCGGGGGACCGUAAGGCCUCGCGCGAUUGGAGCGGC